Molecule: long non-coding RNA, 338 nt
Organism: Bos taurus (domestic cattle)
Lineage: Eukaryota; Metazoa; Chordata; Mammalia; Artiodactyla; Bovidae
Source: Ensembl
ACCACCACCACCAUCUCUAUCAGGUGGACAGAGCAGAGAAGGCCAUCACCUGCCUGGUGGACAUCAAAGACACAAGAAGAGAAAGAGGGAUGAGCCCCUCUUGGGCAGGGUGAGGUUUUCUGAGGGAGGCACUCCUGUCACCCUGCUGGGCGUCUCAUCAGUGUCCACUCAUGCUGAGCUCUAGCGGAUCACUGGGAAGGCCUCAGGUGACAGAGACGGUGACCGUGAGCUCUGUGACUGCUUCAUGUGGUUAGCUUCACAAGAUUUCCUGAGUUACAUCUGAGGAAACCAGAAGCUCAGACGGGGAAAGUGGCUUGCCUAAAUAACCCAGCUGGUCA